Molecule: non-coding RNA, 409 nt
Organism: Ictidomys tridecemlineatus (thirteen-lined ground squirrel)
Lineage: Eukaryota; Metazoa; Chordata; Mammalia; Rodentia; Sciuridae
Source: RefSeq, a predicted model, not a curated record
UAAGUUGCUGAGGCUGGCUGUGAACUUGUGAUCCUCCUGCCUCGGCCUCCCAAACUGCUGGGAUUACAGACAUGCACCACCUCACCCAGAUUUCCACUUGUUCUUUAGAUCCAAGCCCUCACUUGUUCUAAGACUUUCUCCUUCAGCUGCAGAUGCCAUAGUUCCUGUGAGGGAUUCAGUUUUACUCUGAAGUUCUGGGCAGACUGGUCAAAGGAGAGAUGUGAUGGGCCACAGGAUUCUCACUACUGAAAGGUCAUGCAUCAGUUAUUCAAGAGAGAAAAGCUUUUUUUCUGAUACUAAAUUCCAAAAGAAAGUUAUAACAUGAAGUUAGUAAAGAAAUGGAGCACUGUAAUAAAACUCUGUACCCCUAAUGAACAAUAAAAUGGUUAUUUAUACAGUUUGUCAUAAC